Molecule: long non-coding RNA, 1236 nt
Filed under: Homo sapiens (human)
Lineage: Eukaryota; Metazoa; Chordata; Mammalia; Primates; Hominidae
Description: long non-coding RNA NONHSAT216634.1
Source: RNAcentral
GUGGUCUUCUGUUCUUCCGGAGAUCAGACUUCCUGCAAGGACUGGCAGCCCCGCCAUACCCAGAGGCUGAGUGAGCUGGCUGAGAGGGCCGGGUGGGAGGUGACGCUCAGCCUCGCCUCACAGCGGGGCCUGUGGGUGGGCAGUGGAGGAAGGCUCCUGAGGGCUCACCUGGGGCUCGGGAGGUGACAUCGCCUGUCACCUGAGCUGGCGCCUCAUGAGCGGAACCCAGCCCUGUAUGUGAGCUUCCGGGUCGGGAGUGGGGCCAGACCCACUGGGCUCCCCCACACACCCCUGGUGGAUGGGACAACCCUGUGGCAGAGGCCCAGGCACAAAGAGAGCCUGGACCCACCUUCGGAGCGGGGGUGUGUGACGGGUGGCCUGGGCCGCACAGCAUCGCCUUCUGCAAGCGUAGGUGCUCAAUGGGGUGGGACAGAUCAAUCAUGGCCCAUCCUAGAUACCUGGGGUGGCUGCGGCUGUACUUGGGGCACUGGACCCAGGUCCCACCUCAUCUGCAACCCCUCGGCCAAGGGCUGCUUUGCAGGUGAGGGUCCCUACCCUGGAACCCCCAAUUCAGUGCUGGGGCUCAGUCCCCACACUCCUGGGCCGGGUGGAGAGACACUGGAUGAGAAGGGGAUUGGAGUUUCAGGGGAGUCGAGGUGUGGAGCCACUGUGCAUGGCAAGCCUUCAUGCCGUGUAGUACCUGUGUCCCCUGGUCUCACCACCCGCCAUUCUGUCCAGACAGGCUGCUCCAUCCGAGGACCUGGGAGGACGGCAGGGGCCCAGCCCGAGGCGGGCUCCAUGGACAGAGCAGUGGUCUGGCUGUGGUCUGUUGCACUGCAGAGGGGUCUGGGCCGAGGCCGCCUGGACCUCACUGGAGACUGACCAGGCAGGUGUGUCCUGGAAGGGCCACCCCAGGAGCACAUGUGCGUCCCAGGGAAUUGGCUGUGGUUAAGUUUGCCACCUGGCACGACAGAGGCUGACUCGAAAUUAGGCCGAAUCAUUGAGAAGUACUAAUAUCUAGAAAUACCACAUUGUCCCCCCAAACAUCCAUCUCCCUCCUCUUGGGGACCCACUAUUCCCAUGGGGGCCUGGGCUGUGGGGGAAGUGGGCUCAGGUCUGAGAUCAUCAAGGGCCUCUCUCUGGCCUCGGCUUACGGUUCAGUGGGCUCAUACACCCUCGGCCCAAUGAGGGGUGAGCAGCCCUGGGAUGGGGCUUCCAGGAUCUCUGGGAAGUGGC